UAGGGAAUCUUCCGCAAUGGACGCAAGUCUGACGGAGCAACGCUGCGUGAGUGAAGAAGGAUUUCGGUUCGUAAAACUCUGUUGUUAGAGAAGAACAGCGCAUAGAGUAACUGUUAUGCGUGUGACGGUAUCUAACCAGAAAGCCACGGCUAACUACGUGCCAGCAGCCGCGGUAAUACGUAGGUGGCAAGCGUUGUCCGGAUUUAUUGGGCGUAAAGCGAGCGCAGGCGGUCAAUUAAGUCUGAUGUGAAAGCCCCCGGCUCAACCGGGGGGGGUCAUUGGAAACUGGUUGACUUGAGUGCAGAAGAGGAGAGUGGAAUUCCAUGGGUAGCGGUGAAAUGCGUAGAUAUAUGGAGGAACACCAGUGGCGAAGGCGACUCUCUGGUCUGUAACUGACGAUGAGGCUCGAAAGCGUGGGUAGCAAACAGG
Molecule: ribosomal RNA, 429 nt
Filed under: Bacteroidota bacterium
Lineage: Bacteria; Pseudomonadati; Bacteroidota
Description: Bacteroidetes bacterium partial 16S ribosomal RNA
Rfam family: Bacterial small subunit ribosomal RNA
Source: RNAcentral